RNAcentral lists this ribosomal RNA (497 nucleotides) under uncultured bacterium. RNAcentral's name for it is "partial 16S ribosomal RNA". It matches the Rfam family "Bacterial small subunit ribosomal RNA", at positions 28 to 507 of the family's 1533-position model. The record is from RNAcentral.
GAUGAACGCUGGCGGCGUGCCUAAUACAUGCAAGUCGAGCGAACAGACGAGGAGCUUGCUCCUCUGACGUUAGCGGCGGACGGGUGAGUAACACGUGGAUAACCUACCUAUAAGACUGGGAUAACUUCGGGAAACCGGAGCUAAUACCGGAUAAUAUAUUGAACCGCAUGGUUCAAUAGUGAAAGACGGUUUUGCUGUCACUUAUAGAUGGAUCCGCGCCGCAUUAGCUAGUUGGUAAGGUAACGGCUUACCAAGGCAACGAUGCGUAGCCGACCUGAGAGGGUGAUCGGCCACACUGGAACUGAGACACGGUCCAGACUCCUACAGUAGGCAGCAGUAGGGAAUCUUCCGCAAUGGGCGAAAGCCUGACGGAGCAACGCCGCGUGAGUGAUGAAGGUCUUCGGAUCGUAAAACUCUGUUAUUAGGGAAGAACAAAUGUGUAAGUAACUAUGCACGUCUUGACGGUACCUAAUCAGAAAGCCACGGCUAACUACGUG